This 132-nucleotide ribosomal RNA is filed under the name uncultured bacterium. RNAcentral describes it as "partial 16S rRNA". It matches the Rfam family "Bacterial small subunit ribosomal RNA", at positions 355 to 495 of the family's 1533-position model. The record is from RNAcentral.
UGGGGAAUAUUGCACAAUGGGCGCAAGCCUGAUGCACCGACGCCGCGUGCGGGAUGACGGCCUUCGGGUUGUAAACCGCUUUUGACUGGGAGCAAGCCCUUCGGGGUGAGUGUACCUUUCGAAUAAGCACCG